This 736-nucleotide unclassified non-coding RNA is filed under the name Bombus terrestris (buff-tailed bumblebee). RNAcentral's name for it is "misc RNA ENSBTSG00005027164.1". The record is from RNAcentral. Lineage: Eukaryota; Metazoa; Arthropoda; Insecta; Hymenoptera; Apidae.
CCCUUUUCUAUUUUCAGUUGAGCAAUGCUCGAUGUACUUAUCGACGAUCUGAUCUAUUGCUUGAGCCUCCAAUGUUCCUGGAGCUUUCUCCAGUAUUUCUUCACCAGCCUCUGGAGUUAUUUUGAAGGGACUGCCUAUCACGGUUGUAUUAGUGCUGUGCAAAUUGUUUUUAUUUGUGUAAUUUAGUGUCUGAAAUGAAUAUUUUUGUUCGAAUAAAAUAUUUGGGGAAUUUACAAACCAUGCAAUUCCUCCUGCAGGAGCUUCUCGUUUAAUGAGAUUCUGCCAAUGUUGAUUUACUUCCUCUACUAUAUGCAAAGCAAAAUCUCUUGGUUUUGCCUCCCCAUUAAAUGCAAAUUGAUUCUCUGGUUUACCAUCUGGUAUCUUAUAAAUCUUGAACCAUUCAAUUGUAGCUUUCAUUAGACCAGGAUAAAGCUUUUCAAUAUCAGAUACAUCUGUAAAAAAAUACCAUAAAUUGGUAAAUAAAUCAGAGUAUGAUUAAUCUAAUCAUUAGCUGUAGAAUAUUAGUCUUACCAUUCAUUUGAUCUGCCAAGGGGUCAUUGACAUCGAUAACAAUAAUUUUCCAAUCAGUUUCACCUAAAAUUAGCAAAAAUAAGAUAACAUAUCUGAAAAAAUAAUUCUUAAUUAUUUAUUAAAUAUUACACACCUUCAUCAAUGAGUGCAACACAACCCAAAAUUUUUACCUUCAAGAUCUCUCCUCUUUUGGCAAUCUAAUGAC